UACGUAGGGACCAAGCGUUGUUCGGAUUUACUGGGCGUAAAGGGCGCGUAGGCGGUCAGCACAAGUCAGUUGUGAAAUCUCCGGGCUUAACUCGGAAAGGUCAACUGAUACUGUGCGACUAGAGUGCGGAAGGGGCAACUGGAAUUCUCGGUGUAGCAGUGAAAUGCGUAGAUAUCGAGAGGAACACCAGUGGCGAAGGCGAGUCCCUGGACAACUCCUGACACUGAGGCACGAAAGCUAGGGGAGCAAACAGG
Molecule: ribosomal RNA, 254 nt
Filed under: uncultured bacterium
Lineage: Bacteria
Description: partial 16S ribosomal RNA
Rfam family: Bacterial small subunit ribosomal RNA
Source: RNAcentral